Molecule: long non-coding RNA, 4923 nt
Filed under: Sus scrofa (pig)
Lineage: Eukaryota; Metazoa; Chordata; Mammalia; Artiodactyla; Suidae
Description: lncRNA (ENSSSCG00000063347.1)
Source: RNAcentral
AAUGAGAGUUGCAAUGGGAUGAGAAUUUCCUAUAGUCAUGUGGACAGGGGAUUUCUUGAAUAGUGUAGGUGUUUGUUAUUGUUCCUGUUUUAUUUUUAGAUUGAGGAAGAUUUUAUAAUUUAGGCACUCGAAAAUUGAGGACUGACCAUUCAAUAUGGGGUACUCUAAACAAACACAGUUUUGGCUGUUUCCCACUCAGUAGCCAAUAAAUUGAGGGGUAAGUUUCAGUAGAGAAGAGAGUUAGUUUAUUCAGAAAAGCAGGCAGUCUGGGAAGGUGAACUUGUGUCCAGAGACUGAAUCUGAAGAUUCUGCUCAGCUGUGACAGUUUUUAAAGGAGAAAGGGGGAAACGAUCUCAGUUAAUUAUUAAAGCAAGUGAUCAGAUUCUUCAUCAUUUUUCCACUGAAUGUAGACCUUCUCUUAAUCUUCUUUGGAGUGCUCUCUUGCUACUGGUCUGCCUGCAUUUGGAUGUGCUCUUGCCCCCAUGGUAUACCUGCAAAUUUACUGAGGGGAAUCUAGGGAUGGAGACUCAGUCAUUCUUCAUCUGCUUAAUUCUUCAUCCUUAUUCUAAUACAGGAGAGGAAUCAACAGGUUAGAUAAGGUGUUGUAUAUAUCUAGAAAAGCAGAAAUCAGGAGCUAAGUUAAAUGUGGCCUAAUAUCUCACCUUUAUGAUUAAGGUCUAAGGAAAACAGAGAUGAACAAACAGAAAAGAGAUAAAGGAGCUACUUACAGUACUGGAGUCAGAAAACUGGAAUACAGACCUCCAUCACCUGCACUUACGACCUAUGUAAUCUUGUAAGUCACUUGACUUCUUUUUACUUCACUCACUCAACUGUAAAAUAAGAAUUAUGUAAGUAACCACUAUGCUACUACACAAAAUUUUGUAAAAGUCAAUGGGAUGUUUGAGGGCUUCAGGAUCUGUGUUUUAACUGGUGUCAUUCUCCCUAUUACUGUAGUGAAGACCCAUUAAGAUACAAUAUGUAAAAGAGUGAUGAAAAGAACCAAAUAUAAAUAGAUACUAUGUGAAAAUGGAUAAUAAUGCAAAUAUGAAUAAAAUGUGAUUUUUGAAUGAAAACAUCUAAAAACUUACAGGUUUUUUUAGCUUUUUUCCAACUUCAUAACUUUUAUGAGAUAUAUAACUUUUUCUUUUCUAACUGAAAUUCAGAUCUUAUAUUCUAUUAAAAUGUUUAUUGCCUUCAGCAUUUAAUGCGAGAGGAGGGAACUCUCAACUGAGUGAGGUGUGAAUUGGAGGCUCACUGCUUAUAACACAAAAUGAUAAUGACUUCUGAAGUUUCAAACUCUUUUUUUUUUUUUUUUGGUCUUUUUAGGGCUGCGCCCAUGGCAUAUGGAGGUUCCCAGGCUAGGGGUCCAAUCAGAGCCGUUGGCUUAUACCACAGCCACAGCAAUGCCGGAUCCUUAACACACUGAGCAGGGCCAGGGAUCGAACCCACAUCCUUAGGGAUACUAGUCGGGUUCAUUAACUGCUGAGCCACAAUGGGAACUCCUCAAACUUUUUUUUUUUUAACCCCCUUUAACAUGAAGAUGGGUUACAUGAAUGGAAGCUCCUCAUUUUCUACUAAAUUAUCUUUGGCUAUAAAAGUCAUCCUCAUUUUCUACUAAAUUAUCUUUGGCUAUAAAAGUCAAGAGGACACACAGAGAACAUGUGUGAAAGGUGCAAUGCAGGACAUUCUACUUUUAGCAGAAAUCUCAUUUAUCAAGACAUCUUCUUCAAGCAAUCAGAAUGUCAACAGUUUCUUUCAGAUCCUUCCAUUCUCUUAGAUGUGGAGUCAUCCCAGACUAAGGAUGACUUAGGAAGACUUUAUAAUUAUUCUUCUUUAGGGUCUUGGCUUUUCUGUUCAUCAGUUCCAGGUUUUCAAGCCAUUGUAAUUAAAUUUGGCAUAAACACAUUCAGAAUACCAAUCUCACACAGAGAAGAUUCUUCUUAUUUGAACUUUGCUAGUCAUAACUUGGCUUUGUCCACCAAUCUCUAGAGGUUUUCAAUAGAUCAAAAUAGAACAAAAUGUAUUUCUUAUAGUGAGAAAUUUGGCAUAAUUGUCUUUUUAUUCAGACUACAAAACUUAACUCAGUUUUCUUUUCCUAACCAUUCAAUUUUCCAAGUGUUAUUUUUAUUUUAAUUUUAUUUUUGCUUUUUAGGGCUGCACCUGCAGCAUAUUAAAGUUCCCAGGCUAGGGGUCAAAUUGGAGCUAUACCUGCAGGCCUACACCACAGCGGCAGCAAUGCUGGAUCCGAGCUGUGCCUGCGACCUACACCACGUCUCACAGGAAUGCCAGAUCCUUAAACCACUGAGUGAGGCCAGGGACAAAACUUGCACCCUCAUGGAUCCUAAUCGGAUUCUUUACCACUGAGCCAUGAUGGGAUCUCCAAAUUUUCCAAGUUUUAUAAAUUAGAAUUUUAUAUUACCCAAAAAUAUACAAUUUGGAUAAUGUACUGAGAGUUGCUCUUUUCUUUUUUCAUUUUUAAAUUUCCCUCUUUAUUCUCUCAUUUCCACAUACAGCUAAUUUAAGAUUUGUAUUUGUUUGUUUAUUGGGCCAAUACAUAUUUUUUGCUCUGAUGCUAGAUUUGAAAGUAAAUAUGGAGAUGGGAUGGGAUAGUAGGUAUAUCCAAUAAGAACCUUUUUAGAGUGUGAACAUAAGUUUUAUUUAAUUUAUAGAAUUGCUACUAACUGAUUUUAACCAGAAGUAUCUACAAACAAAAUAAUGUUUUAUCUUACUUUAUUUUAUUUUCAUUUUUAAAAGUUUUAUUGAAGAAUAGUUGAUUUACAUUGGCUUGUUAAUUUCUGCUGCACAACAAAGUGUUUCAAUUACAACAAAAUAACAUUUUAAAUGCAUUGGUUGGGAGAACUUGUUAUUACAUUGAAUCUUUUCCUAAGAUAGAGGGGAAAAUUUCUACAUUUAUUUUACUUAAAUUUUCAGGACUUACUAUUUCAAGAUGAUUAAGUACAAAAAAACAUUUCUACUGUCUCUUCAAACUUUUCUUAAAAAAUUACCAAAUCCAAUAAAGAGAAUGAUAAACAGAAACACUCAUCUUUAGUGAAACUAGGAGAUAUUGGUAAGUAUGAAAAAAUAAUGUAUGAAGAUGGAAAGUACUUAAAAGAUUAAUACAUGAUUAAAGAGGGAAAACAUUAAAAUAUAACUCUUAUGGUGAUAAGAAAUUCACAGUGUAGCAUUCUAGAGCAAAGCUGGAAAUUGGAGCUACCAGGUACUUGAAGAUUUGGAAAUGGACAGGGCUGGAGCUAAAAACAGGAAGGUUGCUGAUAAAGUUCCAUCAUGGAACCCAGGGUUUCAAAUGACUUCUCUUUUCUCACCAGAGGUUUUUCAGAGGGAGGUCAGAUCCAGUGAAGGCGAAUUGCUGCUGCUGUAUUUAAACAAAGGAAUGAAGUGAAAAAUCUGUAUUCUGAAAGAUGACAUGCCCAGGAUCAAUUCUAAUUUGUGGAGACAGGGUGAAUUUCUCCAAGUAGUCUGAUAGGUUAAUACAAUGAGAAACAGAUCUUACUGUAGGUUCGCCUUUAGGAAGUUGCAUUCAUGCACUGGAAGAAAUACUCAGGAUUCUUUUUGCCCAACAGACACAGUGGUUGUUAUGGUAACUACUCUGUAUGGAACUGCAGGCAAUAAGCACACAGAUCUUGCUUUGGGCAGAUUCACCCGUUUCUUGCUUUUGUUUUUAUUUUUUCUCCCAAACAAAUGGUCAUCUUUGAAUAAAUACAUUUUUUUUCAGUGGAAAAAUACAAAUAAAAUCCACUUUCAGUCCAAAAAUUUUCAGCAGGCUGAAUCUAAAAGCCUCCCAGAAGGGAAUAUUUGGUGAAACUCAGUUUAAGUAAAAAUUCAAUGUUCAUAACCUAUCAAACUCAAUUGGUAACAAUAUUCACCAAUGUCUAGGGACUGUUUUUUUGUCUUUUUAGGGCCACAUCCCAGGCAUAUGGAGGUUCCUAGGCUAGGGGUCCAAUUGGAGCUGCAGCCACUGGCCUACAGCCAGAGUGGGAUCUGAGCCACUUCUGCAACCUACAUCAUAGCUCAUGGCAAUGCUGGAUCCUUAACCCACUGAGUGAGGCUAGGGAUCAAACCUACAUCCUCAUGGAUGCUAGUCAGAUUCAUUUCCACUGAGCCACAAUGGGAACUCCUUUAGGGAUUUUUUAAUGGUACUAUUUGCCUCGUCUACUCUGCAAAUAUUUAGUAAACACCUACUCCAUGUCAGGCACAGGGCAUAUGCAUUUAGAAAAAAUUGAGGCCAAAGGGAAGAGAGAGAAUUCCUAUUUUGCAGUAUUUAGACUAUAGCUAUAGAUGUCAGAUAAAUCUGCUUAAUAGUGACUUGUUUUAAUCAGUUCAUCAUUAAAAAUUUCAUACUGAUGUUUUCUACAUUAAUGACUAGAGCUUUUUAUUAAUUUAUUUGAUGCUUUAUCUGUUUAAUGUUUAAUGAGUUUUCAAGAAAUCAUACCAGACAGAUGAUAUUUUUUCAGUUCAUUAGUAUUUUAUCAAAGAAACACAAUCCUUGCUCUUUUGUGUAAACUUCUAUGUAUCCACAACCUUCAGGAUAAGAAAAAUGGAUUAUGGGCCAGACGUAAUUUGACCAUGAGAGUUCCUCUUAAUGGAAUCUACGAGACACUGCACUGGAAACAACUUCAUGGCAUGAUGAGUCCUUUAACACUUUCUUCAGUUUUCUCCGUGACCUUUUCAGAUUGCGAUAAACUCUGAUGGUUUAUAUUUUUUCCUAAGGAGACAUUUCCAUCCUGAGGAAAAUAAGGAAGAAGGAAGAUAAUUGAUUCGAAGAGCAAAUCUUUCAUCAAAACCUGGAAACACGUUGUGGCAAGGAUAACUCAGAAAAACUGACAUGCUAGAGGAAAGAGGUUAUAUCACAGCUUGCAAAUGCAAAACAAAUGUCAAGAAAUGCUGAGCCGAAAUGUUAAAUUG